RNAcentral lists this small RNA (259 nucleotides) under Sorex araneus (European shrew). RNAcentral describes it as "7SK RNA (ENSSARG00000020079.1)". It matches the Rfam family "7SK RNA". From Rfam's summary of the family: 7SK was discovered as an abundant small nuclear RNA in the mid-70s but a possible function has only recently been suggested. Lineage: Eukaryota; Metazoa; Chordata; Mammalia; Eulipotyphla; Soricidae. The record is from RNAcentral.
GGAUGUGAGGGGGAUGUGGCUCUUGGCAUCUGUCAUUUCAUUGAUGGUCAGGUUUGGUUUCAUUGAUCUGGAUAGCAGAGCAUCUGUUCCCUUCCUUUUUUAUGGCACCACAUAAAUAACUCUCCAAGAUGUGAAGUGGGUCAAAGAGGAUGACUUUCCCUGAUAGAGGAGGAUGAUUGUUGGAGCAAGGGUUAUAUGAGUAGCCUUAUAGUUCUAAUAGUUCCAUAUUAGAACUAUAUGGGAUAACCAAAUGAGGUUU